This 634-nucleotide ribosomal RNA is filed under the name uncultured Marinobacter sp. Its description in RNAcentral is "bacterial SSU rRNA". It matches the Rfam family "Bacterial small subunit ribosomal RNA", at positions 870 to 1504 of the family's 1533-position model. The record is from RNAcentral. Lineage: Bacteria; Pseudomonadati; Pseudomonadota; Gammaproteobacteria; Pseudomonadales; Marinobacteraceae.
CGCCUGGGGAGUACGGCCGCAAGGUUAAAACUCAAAUGAAUUGACGGGGGCCCGCACAAGCGGUGGAGCAUGUGGUUUAAUUCGACGCAACGCGAAGAACCUUACCUGGCCUUGACAUGCAGAGAACUUUCCAGAGAUGGAUUGGUGCCUUCGGGAACUCUGACACAGGUGCUGCAUGGCCGUCGUCAGCUCGUGUCGUGAGAUGUUGGGUUAAGUCCCGUAACGAGCGCAACCCCUAUCCCUAGUUGCUAGCAGUUCGGCUGAGAACUCUAGGGAGACUGCCGGUGACAAACCGGAGGAAGGUGGGGAUGACGUCAGGUCAUCAUGGCCCUUACGGCCAGGGCUACACACGUGCUACAAUGGUGCGCACAAAGGGCUGCAAACCCGCGAGGGGGAGCCAAUCUCACAAAACGCAUCGUAGUCCGGAUCGCAGUCUGCAACUCGACUGCGUGAAGUCGGAAUCGCUAGUAAUCGUGAAUCAGAAUGUCACGGUGAAUACGUUCCCGGGCCUUGUACACACCGCCCGUCGCACCAUGGGAGUGGAUUGCACCAGAAGUGGUUAGUCUAACCUUCGGGAGGACGAUCACCACGGUGUGGUUCAUGACUGGGGUGAAGUCGUAACAAGGUAACCGUA